ACUGAAUAGUGCGGAACAGGUGGCCCUAACGAGGGCUUAAAAGGGAAGUCCGGUGCGAAUCCGGCGCGGUCCCGCCACUGUGAGGGGGAUCUGCCUUGCAGGAUGCCACUGUCCGGCAGCCCAGCUCAAGUUUUAGGCAGCAGUUGGGUGCGGGAUGGGAAGGCGCAAGGCUGGAGAUGAACCCGAGCCAGGAAACCUGCCUGUUCGACGGACACCGU
RNAcentral lists this non-coding RNA (218 nucleotides) under Thermoanaerobacterales bacterium. Lineage: Bacteria; Bacillati; Bacillota; Clostridia; Thermoanaerobacterales. The record is from RNAcentral.